RNAcentral lists this small nuclear RNA (158 nucleotides) under Pogona vitticeps (central bearded dragon). Its description in RNAcentral is "U1 spliceosomal RNA (ENSPVIG00000013090.1)". It matches the Rfam family "U1 spliceosomal RNA". Rfam says of the family: U1 is a small nuclear RNA (snRNA) component of the spliceosome (involved in pre-mRNA splicing). Its 5' end forms complementary base pairs with the 5' splice junction, thus defining the 5' donor site of an intron. There are significant differences in sequence and secondary structure between metazoan and yeast U1 snRNAs, the latter being much longer (568 nucleotides as compared to 164 nucleotides in human). The record is from Rfam by way of RNAcentral. Lineage: Eukaryota; Metazoa; Chordata; Lepidosauria; Squamata; Agamidae.
ACUCAUACCUGGCGAUGGAGAUACCAUUAUUGUAAAAGUGGUUUUCCCAGGGUAAGGCUCAUCUAUUGCACUCUGGAUGUGCUGACCUCUGUGAUUUCCCCAAAUGUGGGAAAAUCAACUGCCUAAGUGGGGAACUGUGUGAUUUCCACAGGUCUUUC